UACGGGGGGUGCGAGCGUUGUCCGGAAUCACUGGGCGUAAAGGGUGCGUAGGUGGCGGGGUUAGUCAGGUGUGAAAUCUCGGGGCUCAACCCCGAAACUGCACUUGAUACUGCCUUGCUAGAGUACUGGAGAGGAGAUUGGAAUUUACGGUGUAGCAGUGAAAUGCGUAGAUAUCGUAAGGAAGACCAGUGGCGAAGGCGAAUCUCUGGACAGUUACUGACACUGAGGCACGAAGCCAGGGGAGCAAACGGG
RNAcentral lists this ribosomal RNA (252 nucleotides) under uncultured bacterium. RNAcentral's name for it is "partial 16S ribosomal RNA". It matches the Rfam family "Bacterial small subunit ribosomal RNA", at positions 524 to 776 of the family's 1533-position model. The record is from RNAcentral.